RNAcentral lists this ribosomal RNA (499 nucleotides) under Colpoda steini. Its description in RNAcentral is "SSU rRNA". It matches the Rfam family "Eukaryotic small subunit ribosomal RNA", at positions 381 to 890 of the family's 1831-position model. The record is from RNAcentral. Lineage: Eukaryota; Ciliophora; Colpodea; Colpodida; Colpodidae.
UUCCGGAGAGGGAGCCUGAGAAAUGGCUACCACAUCUAAGGAAGGCAGCAGGCGCGUAAAUUACCCAAUCCUAAUUCAGGGAGGUAGUGACAAGAAAUAACAACUCGGGCCCCACAUGGGGUUGCGAGAUUGCAAUGAGAACAAUUUAAACCACUUAUCGAGUAACAAUUGGAGGGCAAGUCUGGUGCCAGCAGCCGCGGUAAUUCCAGCUCCAAUAGCGUAUAUUAAAGUUGUUGCAGUUAAAAAGCUCGUAGUUGAAUUUCUGGCCGGCGCUGUUCACGGCUCUCGCAGUCGGUUCAGGAGCCUGGUCAUCCGUAUGGGAAGCUAGCACGUCCUUCAGUGGUCGGCUAGUGGAUCAUACACUUUACUUUGAAAAAAUUAGAGUGUUUCAGGCAGGCAAUUGCUUGGAUACUGCAGCAUGGAAUAAUGGAAUAGGACUUUGACCUAUUUGUUGGUUUCUUGAGGUCAAAGUAAUGAUUAAUAGGGACAGUUGGGGGCA